Molecule: long non-coding RNA, 636 nt
Filed under: Capsella grandiflora
Lineage: Eukaryota; Viridiplantae; Streptophyta; Magnoliopsida; Brassicales; Brassicaceae
Description: long non-coding RNA (CGRA_LNC001445)
Source: RNAcentral
AUCUUUGUAAACAAAAAAAAUUGAAUUGCAGAAAAAUAAAAUAAAAAUUAAACAAGAAAAAUUGGAUUUCACAAUCAGUACUACAAUCAGAAUAAAAUCUUAGUAAAAAAAUAAAAAAUUAAUCGCAGAAACAAAUUUGCCAGAAGAGAGAAGAAGCAAAUGGAAAACAAAUAAAUCUCAAUUUUUUUUUAAAAAUGGACUUUCCAGGAGAAGAAGAGACGAAGCAAUCCUCAUCAUGACUUCGCCGGCGAUAUUAGCUUUGUUUCUCCUCCGUUCACCGACAAAUCGAUACCAAGUUUUUAUUUUUUUUUUUUGGUUCUAAAUUUCUAAUAGAAGAAUCUCAUCAGAGAGACAAGAAAGAGAGAGAGAGAGAGAGAGUCAAAGGUUGUGUGUGAAAGAGGUUUUUAUAAAUAUUACAACAGUGUUGUGUUGUGCUGUGUUGUGUGUGCGCUUCAUGAAAGCUCUGCUGCCAUUUUCAGGUCCUAGGGAUGUGGUGAGAGAGGGUAUUUGUGAUUUGACGAAUUUACCCUCGCUUUCGGUUUGUUUUUAUAUCUGACGUGGUUUUGUCGCCGAGGGGGUUUUCCGUAAUACUGGGGAGAAAGGAUUUUACGCGGUUCCUCCGGAAACUGAUUUUUG